Molecule: non-coding RNA, 170 nt
Filed under: unclassified sequences
Description: FMN sequence
Rfam family: FMN riboswitch aptamer (RFN element)
About the family: The RFN element is a highly conserved domain that is found frequently in the 5'-untranslated regions of prokaryotic mRNAs that encode for flavin mononucleotide (FMN) biosynthesis and transport proteins. This element is a metabolite-dependent riboswitch that directly binds FMN in the absence of proteins.
Source: RNAcentral
GAUAUGUUUCAGAAAUGGUUGCAAUUACCUACUGGUGGUAAGGUGGCCGAGCUUUAGGGUUUGUAACAACCCAGCUCAAUAAGCCAUCAAGUCCGCGACCCGCAAAAAAAGGCGGUUAACCUGGUUAAAGUCCAGGACCAACGGUACAGUCCGGAUGUCAGAAACGGAGA